RNAcentral lists this ribosomal RNA (582 nucleotides) under uncultured bacterium. Its description in RNAcentral is "partial 16S ribosomal RNA". It matches the Rfam family "Bacterial small subunit ribosomal RNA", at positions 355 to 935 of the family's 1533-position model. The record is from RNAcentral.
UGGGGAAUUUUGGACAAUGGGCGAAAGCCUGAUCCAGCAAUGCCGCGUGUGUGAAGAAGGCCUUCGGGUUGUAAAGCACUUUUGUCCGGAAAGAAAUCCUUGGCUCUAAUACAGUCGGGGGAUGACGGUACCGGAAGAAUAAGCACCGGCUAACUACGUGCCAGCAGCCGCGGUAAUACGUAGGGUGCAAGCGUUAAUCGGAAUUACUGGGCGUAAAGCGUGCGCAGGCGGUUUGCUAAGACCGAUGUGAAAUCCCCGGGCUCAACCUGGGAACUGCAUUGGUGACUGGCAGGCUAGAGUAUGGCAGAGGGGGGUAGAAUUCCACGUGUAGCAGUGAAAUGCGUAGAGAUGUGGAGGAAUACCGAUGGCGAAGGCAGCCCCCUGGGCCAAUACUGACGCUCAUGCACGAAAGCGCGGGGAGCAAACAGGAUUAGAUACCCUGGUAGUCCACGCCCUAAACGAUGUCAACUAGUUGUUGGGGAUUCAUUUCCUUAGUAACGUAGCUAACGCGUGAAGUUGACCGCCUGGGGAGUACGGUCGCAAGAUUAAAACUCAAAUGAAUUGACGGGGUCAUAGCUGUUU